UUUACUCGAAUUUGUAUGGAGUUUGAACGUUUGCCUACGUUUGCCGCUAGGGGCGCUGUUCCAACUCCAUACAAAUUUGAGUUA
This 84-nucleotide microRNA precursor is filed under the name Bombyx mori (domestic silkworm). RNAcentral's name for it is "mir-2807 microRNA precursor family". It matches the Rfam family "mir-2807 microRNA precursor family". Lineage: Eukaryota; Metazoa; Arthropoda; Insecta; Lepidoptera; Bombycidae. The record is from Rfam by way of RNAcentral.